RNAcentral lists this ribosomal RNA (326 nucleotides) under uncultured eukaryote. RNAcentral describes it as "partial 18S ribosomal RNA". It matches the Rfam family "Eukaryotic small subunit ribosomal RNA", at positions 1470 to 1796 of the family's 1831-position model. The record is from RNAcentral.
CCCUUAGACGUUCUGGGCCGCACGCGCGCUACACUGACCGGUGCAACAAGCAUCCGUCCUUGGCCGACAGGCCCGGGCAAUCUUUGAACGCCGGUCGUGAUGGGGAUAGACUUUUGCAAUUUUUGGUCUUCAACGAGGAAUUCCUAGUAAACGCAAGUCAUCAACUUGCAUUGAUUACGUCCCUGCCCUUUGUACACACCGCCCGUCGCACCUACCGAUUGAAUGGUCCGGUGAAGCCUCGGGAUUGUGGCGAGUUCCCUUUAUUGGGAGUUUGUCGCGAGAACUUGUCUAAACCUUAUCAUUUAGAGGAAGGUGAAGUCGUAACA